AUGCCUUAUCUCUUCCCCUGUUUCAUUCUUCACCUUCAUGCUCAAGAGUUAUCGCUAAACCAUUGUAGCCCUGUUGCACAUCAACAAAACUUGCAUUCAGAAAAAAAACAGUUAAUCAUUAAGAAACUACUAUCAUGCAGUCCAAACAAUUCACAAAUAUGCUACUACUACAAACUAAAAUCCUGCACAUGA
This is a non-coding RNA of Vicia faba (fava bean), 192 nucleotides long. The record is from the annotation of a GenBank genome assembly. NCBI's taxonomy places the organism in Eukaryota, Viridiplantae, Streptophyta, Magnoliopsida, Fabales, Fabaceae.